UACGGGGGGGGCAAGCGUUGUUCGGAAUUACUGGGCGUAAAGGGCUCGUAGGCGGCCAACUAAGUCAGACGUGAAAUCCCUCGGCUUAACCGGGGAACUGCGUCUGAUACUGGAUGGCUUGAGUUUGGGAGAGGGAUGCGGAAUUCCAGGUGUAGCGGUGAAAUGCGUAGAUAUCAGGAGGAACACCGGUGGCGAAGGCGGCUUUCUGGACAGUAACUGACGCUGAGGCGCGAAAGCUAGGGGAGCAAACAGG
RNAcentral lists this ribosomal RNA (253 nucleotides) under uncultured bacterium. RNAcentral's name for it is "partial 16S ribosomal RNA". It matches the Rfam family "Bacterial small subunit ribosomal RNA", at positions 524 to 776 of the family's 1533-position model. The record is from RNAcentral.